Molecule: ribosomal RNA, 440 nt
Filed under: uncultured bacterium
Lineage: Bacteria
Description: partial 16S ribosomal RNA
Rfam family: Bacterial small subunit ribosomal RNA
Source: RNAcentral
ACUACGGGAGGCAGCAGUGGGGAAUAUUGCUCAAUGGGGGAAACUCUGAACCAGCGACGUAGCGUGAGUGAGGAAGUAUCUCGGUAUGGAAAGCUCUAUCAGUAGGGAAGAAAAUGACGGUACCUGACUAAGAAGCCCCGGCUAACUACGUGCCAGCAGCCGCGGUAAUACGGAGGGGGCAAGCGUUAUCCGGAUUUACUGGGUGUAAAGGGAGCGUAGGCGGAUAAUCAAGUCAGAAGUGAAAACCUAGGGCUCAACCUUGGGACUGCUUUUGAAACUGAGUAGCUUGAGUGCAGGAGAGGUAAGCGGAAUUCGUAGUGUAGCGGUGAAAUGCGUAGAUAUGAGGAGGAACACCAGUGGCGAAGGCAGCUUACUGGACUGUAACUGACGUUGAGGCUCGAAAGCGUGGGGAGCAAACAGGAUUAGAUACCCUUGUAGUC